This 85-nucleotide transfer RNA is filed under the name Moraxellaceae bacterium. Its description in RNAcentral is "tRNA-Leu". It matches the Rfam family "tRNA". Rfam says of the family: Transfer RNA (tRNA) molecules are approximately 80 nucleotides in length. The record is from RNAcentral. Lineage: Bacteria; Pseudomonadati; Pseudomonadota; Gammaproteobacteria; Moraxellales; Moraxellaceae. RNAcentral also lists the same sequence under 2 other names.
GCGCCAGUGGUGAAAUUGGUAGACACGCUGGAUUUAGGUUCCAGUGCCGCAAGGCGUGAAGGUUCAAGUCCUUUCUGGCGCACCA